RNAcentral lists this ribosomal RNA (255 nucleotides) under uncultured bacterium. Its description in RNAcentral is "partial 16S ribosomal RNA". It matches the Rfam family "Bacterial small subunit ribosomal RNA", at positions 524 to 776 of the family's 1533-position model. The record is from RNAcentral.
UACGUAGGGUGCGAGCGUUGUCCGGAAUUAUUGGGCGUAAAGAGCUCGUAGGCGGUUUUGUCGCGUCUGCCGUGAAAGUCCCGGGGCUCAACUCCGGAUCUGCGGUGGGUACGGGCAGACUAGAGUGAUGUAGGGGAGACUGGAAUUCCUGGUGUAGCGGUGAAAUGCGCAGAUAUCAGGAGGAACACCGAUGGCGAAGGCAGGUCUCUGGGCAUUAACUGACGCUGAGGAGCGAAAGCAUGGGGAGCGAACAGG